Molecule: ribosomal RNA, 495 nt
Filed under: uncultured bacterium
Lineage: Bacteria
Description: partial 16S ribosomal RNA
Rfam family: Bacterial small subunit ribosomal RNA
Source: RNAcentral
AUGAACGCUGGCGGCGUGCCUCAUACAUGCAAGUCGAGCGAACGGACGAGAAGCUUGCUUCUCUGAUGUUAGCGGCGGACGGGUGAGUAACACGUGGAUAACCUACCUAUAAGACUGGGAUAACUUCGGGAAACCGGAGCUAAUACCGGAUAAUAUUUUGAACCGCAUGGUUCAAAAGUGAAAGACGGUCUUGCUGUCACUUAUAGAUGGAUCCGCGCUGCAUUAGCUAGUUGGUAAGGUAACGGCUUACCAAGGCAACGAUGCAUAGCCGACCUGAGAGGGUGAUCGGCCACACUGGAACUGAGACACGGUCCAGACUCCUACGGGAGGCAGCAGUAGGGAAUCUUCCGCAAUGGGCGAAAGCCUGACGGAGCAACGCCGCGUGAGUGAUGAAGGUCUUCGGAUCGUAAAACUCUGUUAUUAGGGAAGAACAUAUGUGUAAGUAACUGUGCACAUCUUGACGGUACCUAAGCAGAAAGCCACGGCUAACUACGU